GUGAACGCUGGCGGUAGGCCUAACACAUGCAAGUCGAACGGCAGCACAGUAAGAGCUUGCUCUUACGGGUGGCGAGUGGCGGACGGGUGAGGAAUACAUCGGAAUCUACUUUUUCGUGGGGGAUAACGUAGGGAAACUUACGCUAAUACCGCUUACGACCUACGGGUGAAAGCAGGGGAUCUUCGGACCUUGCGCGAUUGAAUGAGCCGAUGUCGGAUUAGCUAGUUGGCGGGGUAAAGGCCCACCAAGGCGACGAUCCGUAGCUGGUCUGAGAGGAUGAUCAGCCACACUGGAACUGAGACACGGUCCAGACUCCUACGGGAGGCAGCAGUGGGGAAUAUUGGACAAUGGGCGCAAGCCUGAUCCAGCCAUACCGCGUGGGUGAAGAAGGCCUUCGGGUUGUAAAGCCCUUUUGUUGGGAAAGAAAAGCAGCAGGUUAAUACCCCGCUGUUCUGACGGUACCCAAAGAAUAAGCACCGGCUAACUUCGUG
This 491-nucleotide ribosomal RNA is filed under the name uncultured bacterium. RNAcentral describes it as "partial 16S ribosomal RNA". It matches the Rfam family "Bacterial small subunit ribosomal RNA", at positions 29 to 507 of the family's 1533-position model. The record is from RNAcentral.